Molecule: long non-coding RNA, 670 nt
Filed under: Homo sapiens (human)
Lineage: Eukaryota; Metazoa; Chordata; Mammalia; Primates; Hominidae
Description: HSALNT0156332
Source: RNAcentral
UAGCCUUUGCUUGCUGCGUUGUUCCCAGAAGGAAAGAUCAACAAGAGAUGCAUUAGUCCAUGAAAACAGAGCUCGGAGUGAAGCCUGACUGCCCACAGAAUUGCAUCUCUCCCUGCAGAGAUCAUUAUGCCCCAUAUGUCAAGCAACAGUUUAGGGUUUGCAAUCAGACUCUUUGACUCAGCUUCUUCCAAAAGGUAAAGAAAAGAAAAAAGAAAAAAGUCUCAGCUCACUCAUCUACCAGACCUCACCAGCCAUUCUUAACUGUUAAAUCAAUCAAGAUAAGGUACUGUUAUCAUCUCAUUUUAAGAUGCAAACAUGGAGGCAGAGAUGUGACGUAAUUUGUCCCAGAAUCACUGAAGGAACCAGGCUUUCCCCAGGCAUCAUGAUUCUACAUUCUAGAGGCCUCACAACAAUACUAUAAUCCCUUUUAUUAACUGCAUCCUCUUUGCUUUAGAAAACAUGUGUAUGCUGGAAACUUACUCUUUCUGCUCAACAUUAUAGUUUUGCCUUGUAUAGUCUUAAUCCACAUGGAUUUGGUUUUUUAUACAUAGUGCGAGAUAAGGUUCCAAUUUCAGUUUUUAAAUUCACACAACCACACAACCAAUUGUUCCAGUGCCACUUAUUAAAAAUGUCAGCUUUUCCUAAGCAAUUUGCAGUGUCAUCUCGGUCA